UCGCCUGUUUAUCAAAAACAUAGCUAUUAGAUGAUAUUACAUGGUUUUACCUGCCCAAUGUUAUAUAUGAAUGGCCGCGGUACUCUGACCGUGCUAAGGUAGCGUAAUCAGUUGACCUUUAAAUGAGGUCAGGAAUGAAUGGAAUAACCGGGUUUAGCUGUCUCUGUGUCACUAUAUUGAAUUUACUAUCUAAGUGAAAAAGCUUAGGGUUAAAAAAGGGAGGAGAAGACCCUUAGAAUUUUUUUUAAAAGAAAAUAAAAUUUUCUUACAAUUUUAUUGGGGCGAUAAAGAAAUAAUUAAAACUUUCUUUUAUUACAAGCCGAUUAUAUUAAGUGAGAAUAAAUUACCUGAGGGAUAACAGCAUAAUUCUAUAAAUGAGUUUGUGACCUCGAUGUUGGACUAGGAAACUAGCAGGCUAGCCGUUUGCUGUGUUAGGUUCUGUUCGAACUUUUAUUCCU
RNAcentral lists this ribosomal RNA (458 nucleotides) under Spurilla braziliana. RNAcentral describes it as "partial 16S ribosomal RNA". It matches the Rfam family "Bacterial large subunit ribosomal RNA", at positions 1795 to 2597 of the family's 2925-position model. The record is from RNAcentral. Lineage: Eukaryota; Metazoa; Mollusca; Gastropoda; Nudibranchia; Aeolidiidae.